Oryza sativa Japonica Group (Japanese rice) is the source of this 2592-nucleotide non-coding RNA. The record is from RefSeq and is a predicted model, not a curated record. Lineage: Eukaryota; Viridiplantae; Streptophyta; Magnoliopsida; Poales; Poaceae.
UGGAAAUAUAGGUGAAAGAGUUGGAAGCUUCACCCAACUGAGCACUUCAGUUUCUUUGCAACUCUUCCGAGUCUCACCCUUCUUCUCCAAGGCUAUCGGUUGAGCCGUCGUCAAUGCAACCGCGACCAAACCGCCGAUCGAUCCAUCGAGAUGUUCACGUCGAAUCCACCACCUAAUCCGUAGCCUCAUACCACCAAAUCUCACUCCUCCUCCCUCCAUGUAUUCUUAUCAUGGGCUUCAAGAACGCCGCCAUGAUCGGGACAAGGUGUGAGACGACAUGGGUUUGGGUGGUGAUGGUGGUGGUGGUGAUUCUUGCGGCGGCGAUGGCGGCGGUGGUGGAGGGUGUGGGGUGGCCAGAGCCGGAGCUGGAGGCGUUGCGCGACGAGCGGGGCGGGCUGGUGGCGCUGCGGGACGCGCUGCGGUCGGGGAGGGACCUGCACUCGAACUGGACGGGGCCGCCGUGCCACGGCGGGCGGAGCCGGUGGUACGGCGUGGCGUGCGACGGCGACGGGCGGGUGGUCGGCGUGCAGCUCGACGGCGCGCAGCUCACGGGCGCGCUCCCCGCGGGGGCGCUCGCCGGCGUGGCGCGGCUGGAGACGCUGUCCCUGCGCGACAACGCCAUCCACGGCGCGCUCCCGCGGCUCGACGCGCUGGCGCGGCUCCGCGUCGUGGACCUGUCGAGCAACCGGUUCUCGGGGCCCAUCCCGCGCGGGUACGCGGCGGCGCUGGGUGAGCUCACGCGGCUCGAGCUCCAGGACAACCUGAUCAAUGGCACGCUGCCGGCGUUCGAGCAGGACGGGCUCGCCGUGUUCAACGUGUCGUACAACUUCCUCCAGGGCGAGGUGCCCGACACCCGCGCGCUCCGCCGGUUCCCCGCCACCGCGUUCGCCCACAACCUCAGGCUCUGCGGCGAGGUUGUGAGGACGGAGUGCCGCCGCGAGGGCUCGCCAUUCGACGCCGCGCCGGCCGGCGGCGGCGGCAGCGGCAGCGAUGGUGGUGAUCGGGUCUUCGGGGCGCGCGACGCCGCCGCGCCGCCGGCGCGGUGGCGCAAGCCCAUCCGGUUCAGGAUAGCGAGGUGGAGCGUCGUGGUGAUCGCGCUCAUCGCCGCGCUGGUGCCGUUCGCCGCGGUGCUCAUCUUCCUCCACCACAGCAAGAAGAGCCGGGUGGUUCGUCUCGGCGGCGGUCGCGCCUCAUUGACGGCGACGUGACCAGUGGCAGGUGACAUCAAGGACAAGGCGGCGGAGCAAGCCGGCAAGAAGGUGAGCAGUGGCAGCGGCAACGGAAGCCGGAGCACGACGGAGUCCGGCAAGGGAGCGGCGGAUCAGCUACAGUUCUUCCGGCCGGAGAAGGCGACCUUCAGCCUCGACGAGCUGUUCCGUUCGACGGCGGAGAUGCUCGGCAAGGGCCGGCUAGGGAUCACCUACCGCGUCGCCCUCCACGCCGGCGGCGGCGGCGGCGGCGGCGGCGGCCCGGUCGUCGUCGUCGUGAAGCGGCUGCGCAACAUGGGGCACGUGCCACGCAAGGACUUCGCCCACACCAUGCAGCUCCUCGGCAAGCUCCGCCAUGAGAACGUCGUCGAGGUCGUCGCCUGCUACUUCUCCAAGGACGAGAAGCUCGUCGUCUACGACCACGUCCCCGGCCGCAGCCUCUUCCACCUCCUCCACGAGAACAGAGGAGAGGGGAGGACGCCGCUGCCAUGGCCGGCGAGGUUGGCGAUAGCGAAGGGCGUGGCGCGGGGGCUGGCCUACCUGCACCAGACGCUGCCGCUCUUCCACCGGCCGCCGCACGGCGACCUCAAGUCGUCGAACGUGCUCGUCGUCUUCCCGGGGCCCGGCGGCCGCGGAGGCGGCGGCGGCGACGCGGUGCCGGUGGCCAAGCUGACUGACCACGGGUUCCACCCGCUGCUGCCGCACCACGCGCACCGCCUCGCGGCGGCCAAGUGCCCGGAGCUCGCGCGCGGGAGGCGGCGGCUCUCCUCCCGCGCCGACGUGUUCUGCCUCGGCCUCGUGCUGCUCGAGGUGGUCACCGGGAAGGUCCCCGUCGACGAGGACGGCGACCUGGCGGAGUGGGCGCGGCUGGCGCUGAGCCACGAGUGGUCGACGGACAUCCUCGACGUGGAGAUCGUCGCCGACCGGGGCCGCCACGGCGACAUGCUGAGGCUCACCGAGGUCGCCCUGCUCUGCGCCGCCGUCGACCCCGAGCGCCGGCCCAAGGCGCACGACGUCGUCAGGAUGAUCGACGACAUCGCCGCCGGCUCCGCCGCCGCCGCCGGAGACGGGGAGGCGACGGCGGGGCGAGAGCUCGCGCUGCGGUGAGCUCUGCACAGAAUUUGCCGGGAGAAGUGUUGUAUCCAUUUGUAGCUGUGUUUGUGUCGAUUUUAGGCCUCGUUUGGCAUGGGCCAGAAUUCUAGUUCAAAUUUGAAGUUCAUCUUGGGAAGGAGGAUUUGGCCCAUUUACAAAGGAGGCUUAAUCUUUUCUUAAUGUAAAGUUGAGAUUGGGAUUUGAUCGGUUUUUAAAUUGGCCCAUUAGUCUUGUUAAACUUUUUCUGGGGGAAAAAAACUCAACUACCCAGAGGUGCCUAUGUCUGUUCAAA